ACUCUUCCUACUGCAGCUGGGCAGGGGUAAGCUGCAACAAUGGCCGAGUGACCAAGCUCUCCUUUCCAAAUUUCAACAUAACCAAUCCGAUCCCAGCUUCCAUUUGUAGCCUCAAGAACCUGUCCUACCUAGACCUUUCCUACAACAACCUCACCGACCACUUCCCGAUAGUGAUCUAUGGCUGCUCGGCUCUGAGCUACCUCGAUCUGUCCAACAAUCUCUUCUCCGGUGCCCUCCCGGCCGACAUCGAUAAAUUGUCGUCGGAGAUGGAGCACCUCAACUUGUCGUCCAAUGGCUUCACAGGAAGCGUGCCAUCAGCAAUUGCUGUCUUCCCCAAGCUCAAGUCCCUUGUUCUUGACACUAAUAGCUUCAACGGGACAUACCCGGCCUCGGCCAUUGCAAAGCUCAACGAGCUCGAGACGCUAACUCUAGCAGAUAAUCCUUUCGCGCCAGGCCUGAUCCCUGACGAGUUCAGCAAGCUUACCAAUCUGAAGAUGCUGUGGCUGUCAGGGAUGAACCUUACCGGUGGCAUCCCCGACAAACUCUCGUCGCUCACUGAGCUGACCACGUUGGCUCUGUAUAGCAACAAGCUUCACGGUGAAAUCCCGGCGUGGGUUUGGAAGCUUCCGAAGCUUGAGCGCCUGUACCUUUACGCGAACAGCUUCACCGGUGGGAUUGGGCCCGAGGUCACGUUCUUCAACUUGCAGGAGCUCGACCUGUCGGCGAACUUGUUCACCGGAACGAUACCGGAGGCGAUCGGCAAGAUGAAGAACUUGACAACGCUAAAUUUAUACUACAACAAGCUCACCGGGUCGAUUCCUCCGAGCAUCGGGCUGCUCCCCAACCUCCUUGACAUCCGGCUAUUCAAUAACAAGCUCUCCGGACUCCUCCCGCCGGAGCUCGGGAAGCACUCGCCACUCGGCAACCUGGAAGUGAGCAACAACUUGCUCUCCGGCAAGCUCCCAGACACCCUCUGCUACAACAAGAAUCUGUACGACCUCGUGGUGUUCAACAACAACUUCUCCGGCGUGUUGCCGGCGAACAUUGGGGAUUGCCAAACACUGGACAACAUCAUGGCGUACAGCAACAACUUCACCGGGGAGUUCCCAGAGAAGGUAUGGUGGGCGUUCCCUAAGCUGACCACUGUCAUGAUACAGAACAACGGCUUCACCGGCACUCUGCCCAGUGUGAUAUCCCCCAACAUCACACGGAUUGAGAUGGGGAACAAUCUGUUCUCCGGUGCCGUGCCGUCAUCCGCACCGGGGCUGAAUGUCUUCAAGGCGGAGAACAACCAAUUCUUCGGCGCGCUACCGGCGAACAUGUCGGGGUUCGCCAACCUCACCGAUCUGAACCUCGCCGGCAACCGGAUAUCUGGCUCGAUUCCACCUUCCAUCCAAUCGUUGAAAAGUCUGAAUUACCUGAACCUUAGCAGCAAUCAGAUAUCCGGCGACAUCCCGGCGGCGAUUGGGUCGCUGGCGGUGCUCAACAUGCUUGAUCUCUCCAACAACAAGCUCUCCGGCGACAUACCACAGGAGUUCAACAACCUCCGUCUCACUUUCCUCAACCUCUCUUCCAACCAACUCACCGGCGAGAUCCCCCAGUCGCUGCAGAGCACUGCAUUCGACAAGGCGUUCCUGGGGAAUCGUGGCCUCUGCGCCACGGCGAGCCUGAACAUGGACAUUCCGGCGUGCCCUUACCACGACCGCAACCAGAUGACAACCGGCCUGAUCAUCUUGUUCUCGGUGGUCGCCGGCGUCCUGCUCAUCGGCGCCGUCGGGUGCUUCGUCAUCCGGCGGAAGACGCGCGAGAGGGACCUGAUGACGUGGAAGGUGACGCCGUUCCGCAAGGUCGACUUCACCGAGAGCGACAUCCUCACCAAGCUCGGCGAGGAGAACGUCAUCGGCAGCGGCGGCUCCGGCAAGGUGUACCGCGUCCCGCUCCGCGGCGGCGCCGUGGUGGCGGUGAAGAAGCUCUGGAGCAGGGGCAAGACCGAGGAGAAGGCUGGCAAGGAGUUCGACUCGGAGGUGAGGAUCCUCGGCGACAUCCGCCACACCAACAUCGUGAGCCUCCUCUGCUACAUCUCGAGCGACGACACCAAGCUGCUGGUGUACGAGUACAUGGAGAACGGCAGCCUCGACCGGUGGCUGCGCCCUGCCGGCGGCGGCGGCGGCGUUGCCAUGGCCCCGGCGCCGCUGGACUGGCCGACGCGGCUGGGAAUCGCGAUCGACGCGGCGAGGGGGCUCAGCUACAUGCACCACGAGUCCGCGCAGCCCAUCAUGCACCGCGACGUCAAGUCCAGCAACAUCCUCCUCGACCCGGGCUUCCGCGCCAAGAUCGCCGACUUCGGGCUCGCCCGGAUCCUCGUCAAGUCCGGCGAGCCCGAGUCCGUGUCCAUCGCGGGCGGCACCUUCGGCUACAUGGCCCCAGGUAAACUAAUGGCAAGAUCGACACCAACUCCUCUGAUCUCAGACAUAAAUGGAGAUUACUAAAUACUGAUACGUGGUCACUCUGCUCUGGUGUGGUUGCAGAGUGUGGACGUGGCGCGAAGGUGAACGAGAAAGUGGACGUGUACAGCUUCGGCGUGGUGCUACUGGAGCUCGUCACUGGCCUGGCGGCGAACGACGGCGCCGCCGAGUGGUGCCUGGUGGAAUGGGCGUGGCGGCGCUACAAGGCGGGGGGACCCCUGCACGACGCCGUGGACGGGGGCAUCCGGGACAGGGCCGUGCACGUGAGGGACGCCGUGGCCGUGUUCUUGCUCGGGGUGAUGUGCACCGGGGAGGACGCGGCGUCCCGGCCGACCAUGAAGCAGGUGCUGCAGCAGCUCAUCCAGUACGACCGCACGGCCAGCGUCGCCGGCGCGUGCCGGGACGCCCGCGACGAUGACGACGACAACGCUGCGCGGGCGCAAUUAGGCAAGGGGAAGAAGGGCGACCGAGGUGUGAAGGGAGCGUUGGAUAGUGGAGGAGAGUUUUGGGAUGGUGAUGUGGAGAUGAGCAGCGGCUUCGUAGCACAUCCCGUUUAAGGCGUCUUUUUUUAAAAAAAACUAAGAAAGGAAAACUAAGCAAGAUGGUCCGUGUAAAUAGUGCGGUUAGACCUUGGCCAAUCAUUACUUAUGGUAAGAAAUGUAAAUAUUGUUUUAUUACAAAUCCACAGCUUUGUCCACACACACACGAAAUGGGUGAAGGACAAGUAUCAGCAGUCAGGGAAACGAAGGACGGUGAAAAGGAAAGUAUGCAAGAUAAAAUACAAACUUAUUAUUACUGUGGCAAGGUAUGCAAAUAAAAUAUUACUGUGGCACAACAAUUUGGCCAUGCUACAAAAUUUCCAUUCUAUAGUAUUCAUCCUUUAAACGAGACAAAAUUUUUUUUUAACGAAGCGGGCACGACACCGUGCCAAAUUCAUUGAUCUAGAAGGAAUCAAACGAGACAAUAGAAAAGGUGACAUUUUACCAUCAAUCUAUGCUGAUGACAUCUUAUGUCAGCAACUUGGACCUGGGUGUUCUGAAAGAUAAACUACAGAAGUUUUGGAAGUAGACGGGGAGACGUACAGCAGGGCAGCGAAAAGAUAAGGUUGAGAGGAGAGAGGAGUGGGCGUAAGUUUGGUCAAAACCAAUAAUGAUAAAAAUUUCGGGUCCGACAAUGCCAUCACCAACGGCUCAUAAUAGCAGCCAGCGGUGAUAAGUAUCACCGCUUAUUUAUCUUUGGAACCGGCGGUGAUACUUGUUUUCACCGCCGGUUCUAACAUCCACUACGCCCAUUCAUCUGCGAACCGAUGGUGAUACUAUAUCAUCACCGGUUCACCUCAAAUUGAUGGUGAUAGGCUAUUUGUGAUGGCUUUGUUCUGUAGCAGUGGAUGAACCACAUUCACCUUAGUUAGGAAAUAGAUCUGAAUCGGCAAGCAGAGGCAGCUUGGGUUCUGCGUGCCUUUUGUGAUGCUACUGCUACCAGAUUAUCAGUUGACCAUCACUUCUAUAAACAAGAAAAUAAUAGGAUUGUGCAUGCUUAAAAUGCUGGAUUUAUUGUGUACCUUCACACCUAGAAAAUAGAAUACACGAGCAAUGAGGUAAGGAAGGAUUACACACCGUGCAUGUACUACUUUUUGUAUCUUAUUAUAUACUAAUUGGAGUCUCCUUUUGAAACCUCCACAUGAAGCCACUUAAGAAUCGUAGGUAGACACUCUAGAAAAAGAGAGAAAUCUUAGAAAUUCUUUCAAAAAUGCAAAACAUCUGACUAUUAAUUCAGUGCUCAAAUCAUCAUAAUUGGAUCUAUUAUUUUUCAAAAAAUUACCUACCUAUGCCAUUAUGAAAAUAGCCUAAAAUAAUCCCCUAAAUUUAUAUCUAAAUUACCCACCUAUGCCAUUAUACAAAAUAAACUAAAGUAACCCCUAACCUUUAUCUAAAUUACCCACUUAUGCCAUUAUAAAAAAUAAUUUAAAAUAACCCUCUAAAUUUGCAUCUAAAUUGCCCACCGCUAAAAUUAUAAAAAAAACUUGAAAUACCCCUUAGAUUAGCUUCUAAUUACCGGCAGAUGCUAUUAUUAAAAUUCAAAACCAAAUCACCUUCAUAAAAAUAUACCCAGAGGUACAUGAAUAUAUAAUUUUAAAUUAUCUAUUUCUUACACUGUUAGUAUGUAAAAUAAUAACUAAUGUAUAUACACAUGAUGUCUCACCAUUUACCAAUAUAUAGAGAAAGUGAUGAUAAUAUAGAUUUGUGUGUUAAGAUAUAGUUUAAACUUAGGAUCCAUUAAAUAAAUUUAACCACGUCCGUGCAAUGAAAAGUGAAAAAAGAUUAUAAAUGUGGAUGGAAACAUUCUGAAAUAAUUACUAACUAAAGUGUAUCACAAUCGGUUGAAGAUAAUAAUUAUAUAUCUAUAUAAGAAUUGUGUUAGAAUAGUUAGCAAAUGAGAGAGAGAGCUCAAGGUAAUAAUUUUGAUUGUUAGCUAUAUGCCCUUAUUUUUUUCAAUUGAAGACUCUAUGGGCUAGGAAAAAAAGAUAAAUACUAGAAAUUCUCACAAAUGUAUGUGUAUCAAUUCUGAAGGCUCUAAUAAUUAUAGCCAUUGAUCUAUAUUUUAUAAAAAAUUACUCACUACUAUUAUUAUGAAAAUAUUCUAAAGUAAACCUCUAAAAUAAUAUCUCAAUCACCCACCUUUGCACUUCAAAAAAAAUAUUUUAAAAUAAUCAUAUAAUCUUCAUCUAAAUUAUCAAUACAUGUCAUUAAAAAUAACUUAAAAUGCCCUUUUAAAUUUGUAUAGAAAUUACCCAUGUAUGUAAUUAUUAAAAAUAACUUAAAGUAGACACCUAAAUUUUAAUCUAAUUAUCUCCAUAUUUAUUAUACAGGAAUGUCCAAAAGUAUACAAAUAUAUGUUCUAAUUACCUAUUGCUGUUGUUUUUAAUAUAGAAAUAUUAAAUUAAGGUAUAUAUGCAUAUUAUGUUAAAAUAAUAAAAUAAAUUUGUGAAUCGUAGAUCAAUAAUUUUGAUUGUUAGAUAGGAUCUAAUUUUUAAAUAAUUCUAACAUAAAGAUUCCUGCACGGGUCGAUGAACUAGUUCAUUCAAUUACGAAUAUUCUACCACAUACAAAAGAAUCAAAAUAAGUGAUCCUUUUUUUGAGAAAAUCAUGUGGGUUAGGGUGUCAAAUCUUGAAAGGUUUGCGAAUUUAGGGUCAAUUUUUGAAAUUUCUCCCCAUGAUCACCCGCCCACAAAACCCUUCCUCGACAAAGAUCAUGUCCUGGGUGGAGGAGUGGAGGUAGAUUACUGUGAGGCAAUGGGAUUGAGAGCAAAAGAAUAAAGAGAGGUGCUGUCUUGGAAUGAUCCCACCAACCGAACAAUGCAGUGUGCACCAUAAAGAGAUCGGAAUAUAGGCAGUGUGCCAUCUUGCGAUUGUAGCAUGGUAGCUCUACAAACAAUUUGAUUCCCUGUAGUGGACAUCACAUACGACGUUGCACUAUGCCUAUAGACCCAGAGGGGCAGGAGGAAGGACGAGAGGGAGAGGGUGCGCGUCGCUGGAGCUGCCGGCGGCGUGGGGAAGGAUAGGAGAGUGGCAGCGAUGACGGGUGUCGCAGCAUCGGAGGAAGGCGGCCGUUCAGAAGAGGGAGGGGAAGAGAGAGAGAGAGAGAGAGAGAGAGAGAGAGAGAGAGAGCGAACCAGAAUGGGUGGGGCCGGUAGGCCAGGGAUGGCGAUGCAACGCAGGCAUUGAGCGGUGGGUGGUUCCUAAAUGUAGUAGCGAAUGGUUUUUUUUUUUUGGCAAAAGCGACACGAAAUCGGAAUUUUCUCUUCUUGGUAUUGAAAUUUUUUUGAGCCCAUGGGGCGUGGCGCAAAGAAAUCAAACGUAUUUACUGUAGCGCAAGGGUCUACGUGGACCAAUCUACGAUUAUAGAAAAGGUGAAGGUUUUUUUUCAAAAUUGUGUGCGCCAGCGGCAGCCUCUGAACCACACGAUCGGCCACUAGCCAGCGGAGGUCUUGAUUUGCUGGAAGACACUGCCUCAAUUAAAAUAUUAUGUUGAACCUGAAGAGGAGAGAGAAACACGUUGAAAUAUCAUUUUUACCCCUGACCCCACAAGUAGGUUCCCCCUCCCCUUCUAUUAUUUCUUCUCCCUCCUUUUUAUCCACUCCGUCCAAAGGAUUGCCAGACCUUGCCCACCUGUGGAGCUCCAGUGGGGCACACCUCAUCGUGCUGGUCGUGGAGCUUGAGUGGGGUAGGGCUUUCUACGCUGGCCAUGGAGCUUGCUCGCACCGGCCAUGGAGCUCGAGGGGGGCGGAGUUCGCGGUGCCGGCCGCAAAGCUCGAGCAGUGCUCCGUUGUCGCAACGGUCGUAGAGCUCAAGUGGAGCGAUGCUCGCCUGCGCUGGCUUUGGAGCUCCAAUGGUCCGAAUUUGCAAGCGGACCUGCAGCCCCAGUGCCGCCACCCCUCCAUUCCCUACAUCAAAGAAGCCGACGAUGGCAUGGAUUGGCUCCGCCCAGCUCACAGCAUGGAUCUGGUAGACCCAUGAUUAGAGGGAGGUGGUGGUGGAUCUGGUGCUGGUGUGCUGUAGCUGUAGCAGGGAAGGGAGCUUCUUGGGGCUGCGGCUUGAAGAUGCAGCGGCAGCUGCUUUGCUUGGUACGGCAGGAAAAGGAAGAAGAAAGAACAGAAGGGGAGGGAGGAAAAAAAGAAAUGGUCUGACUAGUGGGGCCAGGGAAAAAUAGACAUUCCACUACAUUUCUCUCUCCUGCUCAGUCCAAAAAUAUUAUUUUAGUCACGGUGAUGUCUUUCAGCAAAUUGGUACACAACUAGAGUGUCUCCCACCAUAUUAAGUGGUCAAUGGUGUCCUCUAGCAAACUAACAUCAUUUUGCAUGUCUGCCUAUAAUAUUUUGGAGGGGAUUAUCGAAUCUAGAGCUAGAUGGAUGAACACAAGACACAAAAGAUUAACCAGGUUCAUGUUACCAAAUAUGUAUAAUACUCUACAUCUUGUAAUCGGAAUUUGUAUUCUCAGUGUAUAGCGUGUUGAAUAUGGCUUGAAGUUUUCAAGGGCAUAUCUGCCCAUCUUAUAUAGCCGGGAGGCAAGGUUACAAAUCUAUUCCAGAUGUAAUACUAGUUGGUUUUAAAGAAACACAUACGAUCGUAACAUAAGUUAUCUUUUACAUAUUUAAACUAGAUCUAUUUCUAUCCCUAUCUUAUCUUUUUGCACGACAUGCUUGGCUUACUCCGUAUGUUACUGUUUGCCCGUCCGAAAUGGUACCUAGGGAUCAUAUACCCCAUAGGUAUUUUCCACUGGUAUUUUGGACACGAAACGUCUUGUUUUUUUUUGUCAGCCUGCGUAAGUCCUGUACCAGUUCCAACAAUAAUCCACGUUACGUUAUAUUAAUAACCCAUGACAAUAUAUAAGUUUAUUACAUUUUAAGUAAAAUAUUUUUAAUAUAUCUACAUGCAUGGUUUAUUUUUAAGAAACAUAAAUAUUUUAGAUUGGUAUUAUGUUAAUGAAAUGAACAAAAAAGAGCAACAUAGAAAACUUUUCUUUGUCGUGGGCUCUAAAUUAUCCACAAACUUCUAAAUUCUAAUACUUAUGUCUAUUUAAAAUAUUUACGGCUCUUAAAAUUUCUUUCACGUGUAGAAGUUGGACUAAUUAUUUAGUGAAUGACCAACAAAAGAAGCCCUCUCUUAAUUUCUCUCUGAAGUCCUAGAAAUUACCAAGUUAACUAGGAAAAAUACACAUCAUCCGCCAUGGUCUAUAUCUAUUUGAGAAUUUCCUACCAUUGCCAUUAAAAAGUUAAACAAUACAAUACCACUGUACCUAAUAUAAAUUAGCCACCACUAGUCUAUCAACCCGUGCUCCCACACGGACUAAUAUUUUUAAAAAUUAUUGUAUUUGAAAACUAUUUAAAAAUUAAACUCUUAGCUAAUUAUCAAAAUUAUUUACCUACUACUCUCUCAUUCUUUUCAAUACUGCAACAUAAUACUCAUAUAGAUGUGUAUUUACCUUUCUCCAAUUGUGAUUUAUUUUUUAGCAGUAAUUACUCUAUACACUUUUUUAUCCACAUUCACACUUUUUUCAGUUUGUAUUCUACCUCCAUACAUUGUGUUUAGCAUAAAAAUUAAUAUUUUUUAGCAUUUCAACACAUACAUGUAUAAAUGGUAUGGUCUACAUACUACUCAUCAUGCAUAUAUACCUUAACUUAGUAUUUCUAUAUUAAUAAUGAAAUAAAAAGGUAAUUUAGAAUCAUAUAUUAGUUCACUUUUGAACAUUUAUGUAUGAUGCAUAUGAAGAUAAUGAGAUUAAGAUUUAGGUGUUUACUUUAUAUAUUUCUAAUUAAAAAAAUACAUGUGUAACUUAGAUUCAAAUUUAGAAUGAUAUUUUAAGUUAUACUUUCUAAUGAUAUGCAUGCAUAAAUUUGAUGAAAAUUAUAGGGUUACUUUAGAUUAUUUGUUUUAAUGGUAGAGCUCAAUAAUUUAGAUAUAGGUUUAGGAUUUAUUUUAGAAUAUUAUCAUAAUGAUAGUGGUGGCUAAAAGAGACUGUUUUUAUGACUUCCAUGAUAUAGCCGUUCCACCAUGUAAAAAUACAAAGCCUGUUUGAGAUCUGACAUUAUGGGGAUAAGAUAAAUAGCCUGCAUCUGUAUAUCCAAUCAUAGUUUUGUCUUAGCCAAAUUUAUAAAAUAAGCCAAGAUCUAUUGUUCUUUAGAGAUAUCUGAAGAUAUUCUUAACUCCCGCCCAAUGGCAUUUUGUUGGAGCAGCGCUAUGUCUAGCUAGUAAGUUUAUCGCAAAUGCAAUGUCAUGCCUUGUGCAAUUUGCGAUAUACAUUAGCGCUCCAACGACACUGAGGUAUGGAACUUCUGGUCCCAAUAACUCUUCAUCUUUAUCCUUUGAUCUAAAUUGAUCUUUAUCAAUAUCAAGAGAUCGAACGACCAUAGGUGUUUUGGAUGGAUAUGAUUUAUCCAUAUUGAGUUUCUGAAGAAUUUUCUGGAUAUAUGCAGACUGAUGUAUUAAAAUCCCUAUCGGGAGAUGCUAAGUUGUAAGCCUAAGCAAAAUUUGGUUUGAACUAAAUCUUCAUUUCAAAUUCCAUCUUAAGAUGGUUGCGUGCUUCAUUUAUAUCUUGUGUAUUCCCAAUGAUAUUGAGAUCAUCAACAUACAUAGAUAUAAUACAAAAUCUAGUUAAUGAUUUCUUAAUGAAUACACAUGGGCAAUCAUCAUUAUUGGAAAAACCCUUCUGUAGAAGGAAUUCCUUUAGUCGGUUGUACCACAUUCUUCCCGACUGUUUUAAGCUGUAUAAUGACUUUUGAAGUUUUACACCAUACAUGUUGUGAAAAUGAUUCUUGUUCGCAAUAUCAAGUCCUUCAGAAACUUUCAUGUAGAUAUCCGAAUCUAGUGACCCAUAAAGAUAUGCUGUCACUACAUCCAUGAGAUGCAUGGAUAGACCUUUUUGUAUUGCCAAUGAUAUGAGAUAUUGGAAUGUUAUAACACUCAUAACUGGAGAAUAUGUUUCAUCAAAAUCGAUGUCGGGUCUCUGCGUGAACUCUUGUGCUACAAGCCUCGCUUUGUAUCUCACCACCUUGUUGUUUUCAUUCCUUUUACGAACGAAAAUCCAUUUUGAUCCCAUAGGAAAAUAUGAUGAGGAGUAGGUAUCACUGCGGAGAAUACCUCUCAUUUUUUGUGCGAGCGCAAUUCUGCCUCAAUUGCUUCCUUCUAUUUGAUCCAGUCUGAGCGCUUGAUGCACUCUAUCAUGGACUUAGGUUCUGGAUCAGGUUGAAGGUCACUUACAAUCUUGGAGGCAAAACAAAUAUUGACAUUUGUAGUCUUUCUAUUGAAUGAUUCUCAAGAAUCAAUAUAGUUGAUGGAAAUUUCAUUUACCCCUUGUUACUCAUCAUGAUUUCCCAUAAUAAUAGAGUUAGGAUCUUCCGAUGUCCUAGCACUUACAUUAUUGUGUGCACUUGUGCUGCGUAUGUGAUGUAUCUAUUGAACAUCCACAUUAUUUGGAUUUACAAUAUCCAAUUGGUGUCUAUCAACUUGAUGUUGAUUUGCAUCUACCGCUUUGGAAGUAACCUUCCUUGGUUUCUGUGGAGCCUUUUGUACAGUCUUAUCCUUUGUAACAGUAUCUCUCCCCCUCUUAUUUUGAUUUGGGAGAUCGUGAGUAGGAAUUGCUACUCUUUGUAGUGAAUUAACAACAGGAUUAUAUGAGUUUGUGAUAGUCGGUAAAUGCCUCUGGCAGAUUAUUUGCAAUUUUUUGCAAAUGAAUAAUCUUUUGAACUUCAUGUUCAGAUUCAAAAGUACGUGGAUAAAAGGACUGAAUACCAGUGGCAUUCCAAUUUAUUUCCUGGCAUUUUGUUUGGUACAUAGUGUCUCCCCCUAAGGCCCGGAAAUUGUCCUCAUCGAAGAUGCAAAUAGCAUGCCAGGCUGUGAAUAUGUCCCCUGUAAGGGACUCAAGGUGUCCGUGUUUAGAUCCGGUAACCUACCGAGGGGGUACCCGAGGUAGUAUUUUAUGCGUGGGGCUCGCCGAAGAUCAGGAACUCGAAGGUGAACUCGAACACACAAUUUAGAGAGGUUCGAGCCGCUUAUGUCGCGUAAUACCCUACAUCUCAUAUGUUGGUUGGAUUGUAUUGAUGGAUGAUUGUUUGGAUGGGGUCCAUACCUCGUCUUAUAUUGCCGGUGCUAGGACUUUAGGUCGGUUGUUGUACAAGAGUACUAGACGGAUUCUACUAUAUGUUGGUUGGAUUGUAUUGAUUGAUGAUUGUUUGGAUGGGGUCCAUACCUUGCCUUAUAUUGACGGUGCUAGGACUACAGGUCGGUUGUUGUACAAGAGUACUAGACGGAUUCUACUAGAAAGUCCUACUCUAAUUGCUACUAGUAGUUUCCUAAUCCUUGCCUAGUCCUUGUCCUCCAUGUAGACCAUGUUGUCAUGCACCGCAGUCUCCAUGUCUCAUACAUCUUAGUAUACAACCCCAUAUUGUAGGACUAUCCAAGCCUCCUAGUGGGCCCAUAGAUGUACGGCCGAUAAGCCCCCGAGUACUUUUUAGUCAAAUGCAGCAAUCCCGAAUACUUCUGCAAAUAUUGUCGACUAGUUUGUGGUGUUCCUUGUGAGUACUCGAUCGGAUUGAGUCUUCGAAUGUGUUCGAGUACUGCCAUGCGGCUAGAAGUUACUCAAGCCUCAUUUAACUUAGUCUUUAAUCUUCAAAUUUGAUCUUUAUAUGAAAGUGCGAUAAAAAUUGCACUCCAUAUGGAGUAGUGUUGGGAUAUGAGGUAGGCUACACUAGCGCAAAUCAAAAAUUUUCUACCGCGUAAACCAGGAAAACUGCCGUAUAAGGAUCACAGGAUUACCACUUGACGCACUAAUGCGGAAGAUGUAGAUUCGCGUCAAUGCAACGAAGUCGAUCAGUGUAGUCGUAUGUAGUCGAUCACGUCGACGUCCAGCAGCUCCUCAGCAGCUCGUCCACAUGCAGCAAGAUUGCCCUCGUGCCGCGGCUCGUCGUCGGCUCGUUGUGGCUCGUCAGCGGCUCGUCGUGGCUCGUCCAAGUGCUGCAGGCGCAACACCUCCAAGGUAUCCACACGUGUAGGGAGGAAGCGUCGCAAGCCGGACUGCUAGGUCUGCGAGUUGCAACAGGCAAGGGCAUGGGAGGCGCGACAGAUGUGUUUCGCCAAAAGGAUGUAAACCCUAGGGUGCCCCCACCCCUCUAUUUAUAGAGGUUCCUAAUGGGCCUCUACGUCCGAGGCCCAUUAGUACUUCUAAACCUAAUCCAACUCGGAUCACAUCCGAAUUGGGCUUCCAGCCCUUUAAGUGUGUGACCCUAUGGGUUCGGAUACGUAUAGACAUGGCCCGAGUACUCCUACUCGGCCCAAUAGUCGGUAGCGGCCUCUAGCAAGACGUGCCAACUCCUAUACGCACACGAAGGUCAUAUCAGACGAACCAUCACAACUUUAUAUACAUGCUAUUCCCUUUGCCUCACGAUAUUUGGUCUAGCUUCAAGCUGACCGCUCUUUCUCGAUCCUAUGAUUCGGAAUCCCUUUGUAGGUUAACUCUUAACCGUAUGUUGCAUGGCUAUGCAUUUUCGGAUCCGAUCACUCGAGGGGCCCAGAGAUAUCACUCUCAAUCAGAGAGGGGCAAAUCCCAUCUUGAUUGACCAUGUCUCAUAGCAUGCUUCUUGACAAACCCGAAAGCUACCUUUAUAACUACCCUGUUAUGGCGUAGCGUUUGAUAGCCCCUAAGUAAGUCGAUCCACAUCUUGAGUACAUGCGACAAUCUCAGGUCUAAGGACAAAGCGUACAUGUUGUGUAAAGAGAGAACUACUUCUCGUGUUGGGUCAGUCCUAGCGCAUGUCUCCACAUGUGCCCACAUUAUUAGUUCAACAUCUCCAUGUCCAUGACUCGUGAAAUAUAGUCAUCAACUAAUACAUGUGAUAGUCUAAUAUUCAUGUGUGUCCUCAUAUGAACUCCGACUAGGGACGACUUUAGAAUAACCAUACAAGUAAAGAGUUUCACAUACAAUUCACAUAAUUGCAAAUCAAUGCAAGUAGCCUUUAAUGGAUAUUCAAGGAACACAAUAUAAAUCAUGGAUACAAAUGGAAUAUCAUCAUCUCUAUGAUUGCCUCUAGGGCAUACCUCCAACAAGUAGCCCCCGAGCCUUAGUUUGAAUUGAAGAAUCAGGCUGAGGGUCAAUCUUGUAAUUUCACACCUUUUUCCCUUAAAACUCAAGAGAAAAAAUAUUUUGUCCAACAAGAACGUGGUACACAACCCCCAAGCCGUUACACGACUAGUUUGGGUAUAACGGCCAACCACUGGUCCAAUGUGACUGUUCACCUUCAGAAAUCUUAUCUCUUCUAAAAAAAUUGGUAAUCGUUCUGGUGAUAACUGAUGGCUAAAAAGAAGGAGGUCCAGCUGCAGGCACCCAAGUACGGGAAGACUGACCAGACAGCGCCACUGAAUCAAGUCUGUGCCUGGAAAAGAUCCAUCUUGAAAGAGGCAGAUGUCCAGGUACUAGUGAAUGCAAAUCUGCUCCAGGAGAAAGAGUUCACCGAUUAGAGGGAAGCAGCCAGCAAUGCGUUGCCACUGGAGAGUUACCUGGAUGAGACAGUCAUCUUCGCGCACUUCGUUGAGCGUGGGCUGGCUUUGCCAUCGUCCAACUUCUUCAGGGGUCUGUUGAGGUACUACAAUCUGGAGCUUGUCCACCUCAACCCCAAUUCUAUCUUGCACUUUGCUAUCUUCGUGCACCUCUGCGAGGCCUUUCUGGGCAUUCAGCCCCACUUCCAGCUGUUCAGAAUGUUCUUCAGAGUGAAGCCCCAACCCUGGAUGGACCACAUAGAAGUAGUCAAAGGGGUGGGGAUCCAGCUUCGAGAGGAGUACGAGAGCCAGUACAUCGAGUACGAACUUAUAGACUCCCAUUCUGGUUGGAAGCAAUGGUGGUUCUACAUUGGAAAUCAUGAGCCCCAUCUUCCCAAGAUUACUGGCCACCGUCCAGUGUGGAACAAUCACUGGCUGGAUGAGCCAAGUACUGCUAAUGGCUUUUAACUGCUGGAAUUGAUUACCAAGAUCGCCCGCCUCAAGGAAGAUGGCCUGACUGGCGUCGGUGUAGCCUUCAGCUUCAUGAGGAGGUGUGUCUAGCCCCUGCAGUUGCGUUGCACGACAGGGUACGACUACUCGGGUCCCAAUGACCCAUCGCGGAUGACGUCGGAGGAGCUAUCCCCUGAUGAUGUGAUGGUGCGUCUGAAGCGCUUCUUCAAACGCGUCAAGGCUAUCCCGGCGAUCUUACGAGAGCACUGCACCGCUAACCCGUCAAUCUUGUAAGUACCCAUGGCCUGCAGCCCCCGAGUACUAGUGUUGAUGUUUUGUCAAAUUGCUGACUAGUCUUCUUGGUUGCAGGAUGAACUUAGCUUGUAUGUCUCGAACCCUCCUCCGCCUGGUGCUGACGUCACGCCCCGUAUGCAGUCCCUCGAGGCUGUGCAGAGGGCACUCGAGGAGGAGGAUGAGAAGCAGAAAGAGAGGGAGGAUUCACCAGAUUGGUCCUCCUUCAGUAGCUCUAACUCAAAGUCUGCUGAAAAAUAUGUUGUCAAACCACAGCUUUCUGACAAUGCAGAGUGAUCAUCUGGGAUGUCCAAGCGUGCAGCCAAGGAUGUCUAGGAAGUUGAAGUGGCGCCACCCCCGAAGGCGCGUACUGCUGCCGCCAAACGUGUGGUGAGGAAAGUGUUGGCUGAUGAAGUCCCACCUCCAGUAAAUUUGUUUGACAAGAUCUUGAGUAUCGAGUACUCCUGAUAUGUUUGCUUUAUCACCAGAAUUUGACUCCGACAUUGCUGAUGUAUAAGUAGUCAAGGUGGAAACAGAGACGGAAGAACCGACUAUUGUAGUCGUGCAGCAAAGGCUGCCGACUAUAGAAGAAGUCCCAACGCCGAGUACUCAAUGUGAGGAGAUAGCGACUAAGGCUGGCAGGGAUCCAACUGUGAUCCGGCAAGCCACGCCAAAGAAGUCAUCACCUACCGUUAAGGUACUAUUCCUGGGAACUGGGCCCUCCAUCAAAAUAAAGAGGUCCACUCAGUAAGUAUCCGUGUACCAAUGUUAACUUGAUGUUGCCGAGUAGUGUGUUAUAACACUUGUGUUUGUUGCAGGAGAUCCGACAGUGUGGAAGCUGAGGGCCCGAGUACAAAGUCUGGUGCUGAUGGCAGUAGCCACUCAGCCUCGGAGCUCGCCUUGGAGCCUGCCGUUCCACCACUGAAGGAGCAGCCCGCACCCUAUGUGGCUCCAAGUGCGGUGUCUCUUGUAGCAACACUUACACACGAUAUAUUGUCAUCAUUUGACGUCUCUGUAGUGCCAGCCCCUAGCUGCCGGAGGCUGAACCCGUCGUGGAGAGUAUUUCCAUGGUGGUGACGGAGUUGGUGGGCCAGAUGCUAAACUCGGAGGUCGAACCGGAGCCAGAGGCUGAGGUUGAGGCAGAGGCUGAGGUGGUAAUAUGCAAUGUAGCCCCCGAGCUAGAAGCUGACGUGGAGGCUGCUGGGAAUCUGAGUAGUAGUCGAGGUCCUCAACUGGGACUGUUAAUCACAUCUACUCCACAUGUAGCACCCGAACCAAAGAUAUAUCAAAGAAAAAUAAGUGUUAGAAAGUGGAAAAGUGAAAGUGAUGUAAUGGAAUGGUUCAUUGAUUUAAGGGUACUGCUACACACAUAUACAAGCUCAAAGGGCAUGAAGGUGUUCAUUCGGGAAGGACAUGCCCCUUCCCCAAUGGCCCCUUCGGUAACUUAUCAUUAGUAGUUGCUAAUAAUAUCAUUAACUAAUAAUUAAGUAAUUAGAGUAAUUGAUCACUAAUAACUGUGUUUCACAGCAAUAAGAAGUGCAUGCAAUAAUAAUAAGUGCAUGCAAAGUAGAAUCUAUCUGAAUAAAGCAAGAUAAUAAUAAUAGAAGACCAAAAAAGUGAAAAACAUUUUUGUCUGGUAGACACACAAGGAUUCGAAUUAUGACUACCAAGGAGCUGUGUAAUGGUAACAGAAAGAAGGCUGACCCGGUAAGCAAUGUACUUAUUAUUGAGGAGCCGCACCAGUCGCCUUUGAUUCAAUGAAUUCACCACUGUCGAUUUAAUUUGAGACUUAAUAUUUUAUAACCGGAGGUUAUCGAAAUAUCAAAGCACAACUCAAAUCUGAACAGUAGGACAUGCAAUUCAUUUGAAGCAAAAGUAAUCGAUCCUGGUAUUCCUCUUAUAUGUAUCUCAAAGAUUACCCAAGAUCACUUGCAUAUUGGUUCUAGGCAUCGACAUCACCACAUUGCAUAUAAACACAUAAAAGAGUUGUAAAGGUAGCACCUAAAACUAUUACAAAACUUGAUGAAUAAACUUGAAAUAUAUAUGCGAGAAUACAAAAUUACAUGUAUGAAUGGUUGACGUUCACAUCAUCUAAACAAGUUAACAACUUAUGAAACAAGUUUGAAAGUCAGCUGGUAAUGCCUUUGCCAAAGGCAUGACCAAAUGAUAUUAUAUCAUAACAUAAUCCAUUAGGACCUGCAAAACAACAACAAAGGAAUGGUGAGUAGAGAGGUACUCGCAAGACAUACUCCAAUGUGGGUAUAUAUUCAGCUUGACGCCAUGGAUACAGGGCAGUGCGAAUCAUUAUAUUCGUCAGAGUUUUUCACACGCGAAAUCACGCCGGGGGACUCGGCGGCGCUCAUGGUCGAUCGACAGGACGGUGCUGCAUAUAUACCCUGCUUGCUGCUUUCUGCUGGAAAGAGGUGACAUAUAUAUGUAAAGCACACAAAAAUUAGAUGGAACAGAAUCCAAAACGUUUGGAGAAAGGCGAACACAGUAGAUCAGGCCAUGAUCUCUGUUCUUGUGAGCAGCAUCUGGCUAGCAAAAAAUAAAGCGAAAUUUUCUUCAUUGACUAGCCCUGCCUCAUACUACCAGUCUUGGUCAUCAGUGCGGACGAUGAUAAUUGAUACUCUUAUCAGCUAUUGAUGAUCUGGGCCCCAAAUCGGAUCUAGAAGCAUAAAUUAGUGCUUGAUAACGAAUUUUUCAAUCAGAGCACCUUUGACUCAUAAUUUAGUGGUGACUCAUGCGCAAAGACUUUGACUAAUGGGUCGUUAAUCCUUGUCCCAUUCAUCGCAUGCCAAGAGCCAACUGGCCACAUCUUCCAAGAGUCUACAUGUUGAGGAACCACACCAUAUCCGAGCCUCAAGCUCACACACACUAACACUAGCACUGACAGAAAUGGUUCACUCCUAUCUCCUCCUCCUCCUAGUGUUCCUCUUUUUCUUCUCCAGCUCGCCAUCCAUGGCGCAGAUCAACUCCAGCGACUAUGAGACACUCCUAACUGUCAAGAAAGCCUGGGGCAGCCCUUCUGCUCUCAGCUGAUGGACUUCCCAGAACUCUUCCUACUGCAGCUGGGCAGGGGUAAGCUGCAACAAUGGCCGAGUGACCAAGCUCUCCUUUCCAAAUUUCAACAUAACCAAUCCGAUCCCAGCUUCCAUUUGUAGCCUCAAGAACCUGUCCUACCUAGACCUUUCCUACAACAACCUCACCGACCACUUCCCGACGGUGCUCUAUGGCUGCUCGGCUCUGAGCUACCUAGACCUGUCCAACAAUCUCUUCUCCGGUGCCCUCCCGGCCGACAUCGAUAAAUUGUCGUCGGAGAUGGAGCACCUCAACUUGUCGUCCAAUGGCUUCACAGGAAGCGUGCCAUCAGCAAUUGCUGUCUUCCCCAAGCUCAAGUCCCUUGCUCUUGACACUAAUAGCUUCAACGGGACAUACCCGGCCUCGGCCGUUGC
RNAcentral lists this long non-coding RNA (17688 nucleotides) under Setaria italica (foxtail millet). RNAcentral's name for it is "long non-coding RNA (SITA_LNC000059)". Lineage: Eukaryota; Viridiplantae; Streptophyta; Magnoliopsida; Poales; Poaceae. The record is from RNAcentral.